RNAcentral lists this long non-coding RNA (1608 nucleotides) under Citrus x clementina. Its description in RNAcentral is "Citrus clementina (C. clementina) long non-coding RNA (CCLE_LNC000671)". The record is from RNAcentral. Lineage: Eukaryota; Viridiplantae; Streptophyta; Magnoliopsida; Sapindales; Rutaceae.
AGGUCGGGGUCCCAAGACCCCCCAGCGGAAAAAUGGCCAAAAAACGGGUGGGCUAUAGCCUUGGUGGGGGGCGUGGGCGUCCGCGGGACUCGGAAUGGCACCAUACUUGGCGGGCGGCCUCCGUGUGCCAAAAAUAGGCCACGGGCACAGCCGCGCCCAAAAAUCAGCCCCCGAAGGUCGGGGUCCCAAGACCCCCCAGCGGAAAAAUGGCCAAGAAACGCGUGGGCUAUAGCCUUGGUGGGGGGCGUGGGCGAAGUUCGUCCGCGGGACUCGGAAUGGCCCCAGACUUGGCGGGCGGCCUCCGUGUGCCAAAAAUAGGCCACGGGCACAGCCGCGCCCAAAAAUCAGCCCCCGAAGGUCGGGGUCACAAGACCCCCCAGCGGAAAAAUGGCCAAGAAACGCGUGGGCUAUAGCCUUGGUGGGGGGCGUGGGCGAAGUUCGUCCGCGGGACUCGGAAUGGCCCCAGACUUGGCGGGCGGCCUCCGUGUGCCAAAAAUAGGCCACGGGCACAGCCGCGCCCAAAAAUCAGCCCCCGAAGGUCGGGGUCACAAGACCCCCCAGCGGAAAAAAGGCCAAGAAACGCGUGGGCUAUAGCCUUGGUGGGGGGCGUGGGCGAAGUUCGUCCGCGGGACUCGGAAUGGCACCAUACUUGGCGGGCGGCCUCCGUGUGCCAAAAAUAGGCCACGGGCACAGCCGCGCCCAAAAAUCAGCCCCCGAAGGUCGGGGUCCCAAGACCCCCCAGCGGAAAAAUGGCCAAAAAACGGGUGGGCUAUAGCCUUGGUGGGGGGCGUGGGCGUCCGCGGGACUCGGAAUGGCACCAUACUUGGCGGGCGGCCUCCGUGUGCCAAAAAUAGGCCACGGGCACAGCCGCGCCCAAAAAUCAGCCCCCGAAGGUCGGGGUCCCAAGACCCCCCAGCGGAAAAAUGGCCAAGAAACGCGUGGGCUAUAGCCUUGGUGGGGGGCGUGGGCGAAGUUCGUCCGCGGGACUCGGAAUGGCCCCAGACUUGGCGGGCGGCCUCCGUGUGCCAAAAAUAGGCCACGGGCACAGCCGCGCCCAAAAAUCAGCCCCCGAAGGUCGGGGUCACAAGACCCCCCAGCGGAAAAAAGGCCAAGAAACGCGUGGGCUAUAGCCUUGGUGGGGGGCGUGGGUGAAGUUCGUCCGCGGGACUCGGAAUGGCACCAUACUUGGCGGGCGGCCUCCGUGUGCCAAAAAUAGGCCACGGGCACAGCCGCGCCCAAAAAUCAGCCCCCGAAGGUCGGGGUCCCAAGACCCCCCAGCGGAAAAAUGGCCAAAAAACGGGUGGGCUAUAGCCUUGGUGGGGGGCGUGGGCGAAGUUCGUCCGCGGGACUCGGAAUGGCCCCAGACUUGGCGGGCGGCCUCCGUGUGCCAAAAAUAGGCCACGGGCACAGCCGCGGCCAAAAAUCAGCCCCCGAAGGUCGGGGUCCCAAGACCCCCCAGCGGAAAAAUGGCCAAGAAACGCGUGGGCUAUAGCCUUGGUGGGGGGCGUGGGCGAAGUUCGUCCGCGGGACUCGGAAUGGCCCCAGACUUGGCGGGCGGCCUCCGUGUGCCAAAAAUAGGCCACGGGCACAGCCGCGCCCAAAAAUCAG